Molecule: ribosomal RNA, 403 nt
Filed under: uncultured bacterium
Lineage: Bacteria
Description: bacterial SSU rRNA
Rfam family: Bacterial small subunit ribosomal RNA
Source: RNAcentral
UGGGGAAUAUUGGACAAUGGGGGCAACCCUGAUCCAGCAAUACCGCGUGAGUGAAGAAGGCCUUCGGGUUGUAAAGCUCUUUUACCGGGGAAGAUAAUGACGGUACCCGGGGAAUAAGCUCCGGCUAACUUCGUGCCAGCAGCCGCGGUAAUACGAAGGGAGCUAGCGUUGUUCGGAAUUACUGGGCGUAAAGGGCGCGUAGGCGGCUAUGUAAGUCAGAUGUGAAAGCCCCAGGCUUAACCUGGGAACUGCAUUUGAUACUGCAUGGCUAGAGAUCGAGAGAGGAAAGUGGAAUUACGAGUGUAGAAGUGAAAUUCGUAGAUAUUCGUAGGAACACCAGUGGCGAAGGCGACUUUCUGGCUCGACCCUGACGCUAAAGCGCGAAAGCGUGGGGAGCAAACAG